AUGACAAUAACACUAAAAAUAAUAGUGGUAAAAGUUGCACUUGUUUGAGUAUUAAAAAUGUGAAAGAAAAACCAUCAACUGUAGAUAAAACUAAAUUCAAGUUUGAAAAAAAUAACCAUUGUGUAUUACAUGUUUCAGAUAAAAAAAAAACGAAUAAAUCAUUUUUAAAUAAUUUUGACACCACUAGUUAUAAUUAUUGCACCCAUCAUAGAAGUUAUACAUCUCCUUGUGCUCAUUCUAAUAGUAAUGAUAAUAAAACGGACAAUAUUUUAUUAAAUAAUGACUUUAUUAAUAAAAAUAAGGAGAUAAGUAAUAAAGAGAUAAGUAAUAAAGAGAUAAUUAAUAAAGAGAUAAUUAAUAAAGAGAUAAGUAAUAAAGAGAUAAGUAAUAAAGAGAUAAGUAAUAAAAAUGAUUUAAUAUUGCUUAAUAAGGACUUAACAAAGCAUAGUAGUACAUGUAAUUGUUUGGAUGAACUUAAAAAUGGUUAUGCACAUAUUUCAAAAAAUUAUGACAUUUUAAAAAAGAAUUUAAAGGGCUUAGAUAAAACAAAGUUGAACAUUGAUGAUAGUAUGAUUCGUUUAUAUCAUAAAACAUGUAUAAGACGUAACGCACAAGUUGAUUAUACACAACCUAAUUAUACAUCGGUAUGUAAAACGUCAAUUGAUACUUCAGAACUUACUAAAAUUCACUAUAUGGACAAUAUGGAACAUAACCGUUUAAAUAGUUUUAUUUGUAAAAAUGAUUUUUUAAAAAACGAAACUAGUCACAAUAUUUUAAAAAAUAAUAAUAAGCUAUUUUAUCCAGUUGAACAUUAUGAACAAGUACAUAAUAAAAUGAAUAACGAUGAAAAUAUUAAUCCUUAUCUCCUUAACAAUAAUAAUAAUAAUAAUAUUAGUAAAUAUAAUAACACAAAAAAUGAACCACAGUGUAAAACUAAUUUUUUUAUAAAUAAAAACUUAUCUCGUGAUAAUAACAACGUUUUUAACAAUGAUGAUAACAAAUAUGAUAAAAGUGCAAACAAUGAUAUAACUUACAGUAUAGCAAAUGAAGAAAUAAGAAACAUUUUAUACGGUUGCUAUAAUUAUUUAAAACUGAAAGAUUUUGUCAUCCCUUAUGACAUUUAUAGUAAUGCAGAUACAUCCAUAACAAAUAAAAAUAUUAACAGUAAUAAUUAUUAUAAUACAAGGUGUUCACAAUGUACUACUGAAUCUAAAGAGUAUAUAAACAUUUCCUAUAAUUUUAUUAGUGAACACAAAUAUACAGAUAAUCUUGAUAUAACCUAUAAUCAUUUUUGCAAUUAUCACAAAGAAAAGUUUUUUAAAAAGAAUAGUUUAGUUUUUAACAGUAAUAGUAAUAUGAAUAAUGGUCAUUAUGUUGACAGUUCUAAUAAUACACAAACUGAUAGUUAUAUUUUUGGUAGUGUUAACAAUUAUAACAACGAUAGUGUAAACAUUUGUUGUAAUAACAGCGAUAUCGAAAAUAAUAAUAUUAAAUUUAUUGGAAAAAAUGUCAACUAUUUUUAUAUUUUUAAAAAUAUGAUAGAAAACUUAGAUAGAAAAGAACUUCAAAAACUAAUGCUUUGUCAAUGUUGUUAUGUGCUAAAGAAAAUAAAAAAUAAAAUAACCCCUCUUAAUGUUAUUUUAGAUACUCAGGUUUUAUUUCAUGAUUGUAAUAAUUAUUUUAAAAGCAAAGGUUGGUUGGAUGAUGAUAAUAACAAUAAUAAUAUUAGUAAUAAUAACAAUAAUAAUAUUAGUAAUAAUAACAAUAAUAAUAUUAGUAAUAAUAACAGUAAUAAUAUUAGUAAUAAUAACAAUAAUAAUAUUAGUAAUAAUAACAAUAAUAAUAUUAAUAAUAAUAACAAUAAUAAUGUUAGUAAUAAUAACAAUAAUAAUGUUAGUAAUAAUAAUCGUUUUAGUUAUGAUUGUAAUAUAUCACAAACAAAUAAAAAUAUGAUGAAAACAAUUUUUCAAGAACGUCAAGAUUUAAUUAAUAACGAUUACUUAUAUAAACAGACAAAUGACAUUUUUGUUAAUCCUAAGUUAGUUCAUUUUUACAAUGAAAAAGUCGAUUCUUUUUACAGCAAUAUUAAUAUGGACAAUAGCGGUAACCAUGACAAUAACGGUA
Piliocolobus tephrosceles (Ugandan red Colobus) is the source of this 2124-nucleotide long non-coding RNA. The record is from Ensembl. NCBI's taxonomy places the organism in Eukaryota, Metazoa, Chordata, Mammalia, Primates, Cercopithecidae.